Molecule: long non-coding RNA, 1069 nt
Filed under: Homo sapiens (human)
Lineage: Eukaryota; Metazoa; Chordata; Mammalia; Primates; Hominidae
Description: HSALNT0210190
Source: RNAcentral
CUUUUAGAAAGGAGUGUGAGAGAAGAGCGCUCAGAUUUGAAAGAAAUGCUUAGCAGAUGUGUCUGUAUAUGGCAGUAUAACAAUGUGAUGCACCUUCGUAAUGAAGUCUGGACUUCUUCCAAAAAGGAAAGUGAUAUAAUCCUUCUGGUGAACUGUGAAAUCCUACAUUUGCACAGUGUCUUACCCAGCUGGAAAUGAGCAUUCCUCAUGCACAGAUUUUGUUAGAGGUCUGAGGGAAAGGGAUAUGUUGGGAGAUUCAAUGCCAACUUUAGCAGCAAGUUAAUUACUAGCUCUAAAAUAUUUCUGCAGUUUUUGUUGUUGUUGUUGUUGUUUUGUUUUUGUUUUUGGCUGGGGGAAAAAUUUUCUAGUCACAUACCCCAAAGCAAUUCAUACUUUACAUUCCGUUGUUCUCACUAUUGACAUGCUUUUGUCGGCUUCUGUAAACAUUCCUUAAAGAUUUAGUGGUGGCGUUGGCAGCAUCUGUUUAAUUAUACAAAUCAGUAGUGCAAGUGACUUACUUGUGGUCACCAUGCUUUUCAUUACUUAUCCUGUAAUGAUGGGAAAAUUUGUGAACAUAAAAAAAUUAGCUCUUUUAAAAAAGGCAUAUGUAAUAUGUCUUAUACCUUUACAUUUGUAAGACUGUUUUUGUGGGAUAGUAAUUUUUAAGAUGUUUUCUGUAAAAAAAAAUGGGAAUGGGGUUGUGAAUUAUAUCACAGUGCUUAUCUAGAUAUUGCAUAUGUAGUAGAAAUAAUAAGGCAUUGGUUUUGGAUUUAAAUGAACCAAUAACUAAUGAUGUAAAACAAAAAGAAGCCACACACCUUUCAUAGUGCAGGAGGCAUCCUAUUGACGGUAUCACAGUAACCAUGCAAAUAUGAUUUUCCAGGGAAUUUUUACCAGUAUCCCUGGACACCAGUGUUUUCAGAAAAAUGAUGAUAACUCUCCUUGGAUAUGUUUUCUUUCAAACCUCGAUCACAGUGUUGAGCAGCAACUAAUAAAUAUGGGUCUAAAGCUUCUCAUGGUUUUUUAAGGACUAUAGACUAUGGUGAUGAAAGAUUACCCUCUGUGAAUU